CAAAACUUCAUUUUCUUCCCAAUUCCACCUCCACUCCAAAACCAAAACCCAGAGAUGAAUACCGCUAAGUUCUUCUUGUAUGUAAGACUUAAAAGGAUAUACUAUAGACUGAAAAUGUUGUUAACACUAAUACAACAAUUCCCUCUCUUCACCAUCCCAAAAAGGGUUUUGGGUUCGAUGCUGGGCUUGAAAUCCGAGUUUGAUUCGCCAGAUGUUAAACUAACUAAUUUGUGGCAGUGCAGUCUCAGCAACCUCCUCUUUAACCACUCCUUCACUUUCCAAUGCUAUUCUUCCUACCCGCAACAAUUUUGUCUUCAUUAAAGGAGGGAAAACUCACAGACAUUCCCUUCGAUUUGACUCAAUUGGAGCCAUCCGCUUUACUCACCACUGUCUCUACUCUCUAUCAUUUCGUGUCUCGACCACUGCUUCCACCGAGGAGCUAUCUAGGUCUAUAGGUCACAUCUCUCUCGUCACUUACGCAUGUCAGAUGACGAGUGUGUUUUACUCGUGAGUUUAAGCUAAUUUUAACUUGAUAGUAAGCUAGAUUUCACAAGUAUGGAAUGUUUGUAAUGUGUUUAUUAAUGUUGUUUUAGAGGCUUAUCGAGAUGGUGAAGGAAAUGGCAUGGAUGGAAAAGAAGUAGUGGAUACAAGGGCAAAAUAGGUAAAGCAAAGGUGAGAUGAGUGGCACCAAAGAGCCAAAAAUAAGGAAGGAAACCGAAUGUGGGCACCGCAUCGCCACAUUGAGGGCACUGUGGCAUCCCGCAUCUACUAAACCUCUACACCGCGGCGUCAAGAGAAACUGAGGUACACUACCCAGUAAAUUGAUGCGGUGCUGCAGCCCCACUUCCUAGGCACCACGGCGCCACAAACAAAUACGUUAGGGUGCAAAUUUGGCCCUUUUUAAGUCCUUACGAAAACCCUAAUCUUCAUAGAUAGCAGGGGAGAUAUAAAUACAAAAACUCUCACACUUUAUGGAGGUUACACACAUUAAAAGGCAAGAAACACAUCUUGGGAGAGAAAAGGAGAAAUUAAAGGGAAAAAACAACGAGAAAUUCAUCGUGUAAAGCAUCAAUUGGCAGAAGAAAGAAUUCUUGGUGCAAGAUCUACUUUUUUUCUACAUCUUUAAUACAAAAUUCGAUGAUGUAUUCUAAGACAAUUUGUUGUUUCUCUUCUUUCAUUAUACGUAGCUAAAGCCAUUGUUAGGGCGAAUAAUGUAACUAUUUGAGAUCUUUUAUAUUUUCUUAUUAAGAUUCUU
RNAcentral lists this long non-coding RNA (1255 nucleotides) under Olea europaea subsp. europaea. The record is from RNAcentral. Lineage: Eukaryota; Viridiplantae; Streptophyta; Magnoliopsida; Lamiales; Oleaceae.